Molecule: ribosomal RNA, 721 nt
Filed under: Hydrogenophaga sp.
Lineage: Bacteria; Pseudomonadati; Pseudomonadota; Betaproteobacteria; Burkholderiales; Comamonadaceae
Description: bacterial SSU rRNA
Rfam family: Bacterial small subunit ribosomal RNA
Source: RNAcentral
AGUGGCGAACGGGUGAGUAAUGCAUCGGAACGUGCCCAGUCGUGGGGGAUAACGCAGCGAAAGCUGUGCUAAUACCGCAUACGAUCUAUGGAUGAAAGCGGGGGACCGUAAGGCCUCGCGCGAUUGGAGCGGCCGAUGUCAGAUUAGGUAGUUGGUGGGGUAAAGGCCUACCAAGCCAACGAUCUGUAGCUGGUCUGAGAGGACGACCAGCCACACUGGGACUGAGACACGGCCCAGACUCCUACGGGAGGCAGCAGUGGGGAAUUUUGGACAAUGGGCGCAAGCCUGAUCCAGCAAUGCCGCGUGCAGGAAGAAGGCCUUCGGGUUGUAAACUGCUUUUGUACGGAACGAAACGGUCUGGGUUAAUACCCUGGACUAAUGACGGUACCGUAAGAAUAAGCACCGGCUAACUACGUGCCAGCAGCCGCGGUAAUACGUAGGGUGCAAGCGUUAAUCGGAAUUACUGGGCGUAAAGCGUGCGCAGGCGGUUUUGUAAGACAGGCGUGAAAUCCCCGGGCUCAACCUGGGAAUUGCGCUUGUGACUGCAAGGCUGGAGUGCGGCAGAGGGGGAUGGAAUUCCGCGUGUAGCAGUGAAAUGCGUAGAUAUGCGGAGGAACACCGAUGGCGAAGGCAAUCCCCCUGGGCCUGCACUGACGCUCAUGCACGAAAAGCGUGGGGGAGCAAACAGGAUUAGAUACCCUGGGUAGUCCACGCCCCUAAA